GCCGAGGUAGCUCAGCCUGAUCCUUGAACAUGGAGGCUCUGGACUCGAUCGGCCCAUUCGCAGGUUCAAAUCCUGCCCUCGGCA
This 84-nucleotide transfer RNA is filed under the name Crenarchaeota archaeon 13_1_20CM_2_51_8. RNAcentral describes it as "tRNA-Gln". It matches the Rfam family "tRNA". From Rfam's summary of the family: Transfer RNA (tRNA) molecules are approximately 80 nucleotides in length. Their secondary structure includes four short double-helical elements and three loops (D, anti-codon, and T loops). The record is from RNAcentral. Lineage: Archaea; Thermoproteati; Thermoproteota.